CAACAACACAUUUUGCAGAGCUUUGGGGCCAUUUGGAUCACACGAUGUUUUUUCAAGAUUUUAGACCCUUUCUAAGUAGCAGUCCACUGGACCAAGAUAAUAGAGCCAAUGAAAGGGGUCACCAGACUCACACUGACUUCUGGGGAGCAAGACCUCCACGGUUGCCAUUGGGUCGGAGAUACAGAUCUCGAGGAAGUUCUCGUCCUGACAGAUCUCCAGCUAUUGAAGGGUGAGUUGUUUUAUUUUAAGUUCUUUUUAAGGUAGUUUCAAUGAAGGACAAAUUGGUAUAAUCUAAUCUUUAUAAGGGUCUCAUACUUAUUACCUUUGUGGACAAGAUGGACAUAUGUAGAAAGGAUGAAAGUGAAGCUAAAUUGAAUGUUAGUACUCACCCGAUGAUAAACCAGAGAGUGAGAAAUGCUAUGUCUCUGAUUAACAUUUUUAUUAAUGGCUCAGAUUAAUUUAUAGAUGAUAUGUGUCUCAGUCCAUUUUGUGCAGCUAUAGCAGAAUACCUGAGACUGGGUGAUUUAUAAAGAACAGAGAUUCAUUUCUUAUAUUUCUGGAGGCUGGGAAGUCCAAGGUUGAGGGAUCCACAUCUGGCGAGGGCCUUCUUGCUGUGUCAUUCCAUGUUGGAAGGCAGAAGGGCAAGAGAGCAUGCAUGAGCAAGAAAGAAAGGUGCCACACUCAUCCUUUUAUUAGGAACUCACUCAACAAUAACUAAUCCACUUCCAGGAUAAAGGCAUUUAAUCCACUCACAGGAGAUUCAUCUCUUAAAGUCUCCACCUUUCAACACUGCUCCACUGGGGAUUAAGUUUCCAACACAUGAAUUUUUGAGGAGGGCACAUUCAAACUAUAGCAGUAUAUUUAUCAAAAUUUCAAAAGGGUAUCAAAUAUAUUAGGCAUUAGGAUUAAAUAUUUCAACAGAUUGGAACAGUGGACUUAACAUGAAAUUUAAUCAAGUAUCUGCUUUUUGUGAAGAAAGG
Molecule: long non-coding RNA, 980 nt
Filed under: Homo sapiens (human)
Lineage: Eukaryota; Metazoa; Chordata; Mammalia; Primates; Hominidae
Description: HSALNT0014274
Source: RNAcentral